This 2448-nucleotide ribosomal RNA is filed under the name Escherichia coli. RNAcentral describes it as "partial 23S ribosomal RNA". It matches the Rfam family "Bacterial large subunit ribosomal RNA", at positions 516 to 2925 of the family's 2925-position model. The record is from RNAcentral. Lineage: Bacteria; Pseudomonadati; Pseudomonadota; Gammaproteobacteria; Enterobacterales; Enterobacteriaceae.
GAAAAGAACCCCGGCGAGGGGAGUGAAAAAGAACCUGAAACCGUGUACGUACAAGCAGUGGGAGCACAGAGCAAUCUGUGUGACUGCGUACCUUUUGUAUAAUGGGUCAGCGACUUAUAUUCUGUAGCAAGGUUAACCGAAUAGGGGAGCCGAAGGGAAACCGAGUCUUAACUGGGCGUUAAGUUGCAGGGUAUAGACCCGAAACCCGGUGAUCUAGCCAUGGGCAGGUUGAAGGUUGGGUAACACUAACUGGAGGACCGAACCGACUAAUGUUGAAAAAUUAGCGGAUGACUUGUGGCUGGGGGUGAAAGGCCAAUCAAACCGGGAGAUAGCUGGUUCUCCCCGAAAGCUAUUUAGGUAGCGCCUCGUGAAUUCAUCUCCGGGGGUAGAGCACUGUUUCGGCAAGGGGGUCAUCCCGACUUACCAACCCGAUGCAAACUGCGAAUACCGGAGAAUGUUAUCACGGGAGACACACGGCGGGUGCUAACGUCCGUCGUGAAGAGGGAAACAACCCAGACCGCCAGCUAAGGUCCCAAAGUCAUGGUUAAGUGGGAAACGAUGUGGGAAGGCCCAGACAGCCAGGAUGUUGGCUUAGAAGCAGCCAUCAUUUAAAGAAAGCGUAAUAGCUCACUGGUCGAGUCGGCCUGCGCGGAAGAUGUAACGGGGCUAAACCAUGCACCGAAGCUGCGGCAGCGACACUGUGUGUUGUUGGGUAGGGGAGCGUUCUGUAAGCCUGUGAAGGUGUGCUGUGAGGCAUGCUGGAGGUAUCAGAAGUGCGAAUGCUGACAUAAGUAACGAUAAAGCGGGUGAAAAGCCCGCUCGCCGGAAGACCAAGGGUUCCUGUCCAACGUUAAUCGGGGCAGGGUGAGUCGACCCCUAAGGCGAGGCCGAAAGGCGUAGUCGAUGGGAAACAGGUUAAUAUUCCUGUACUUGGUGUUACUGCGAAGGGGGGACGGAGAAGGCUAUGUUGGCCGGGCGACGGUUGUCCCGGUUUAAGCGUGUAGGCUGGUUUUCCAGGCAAAUCCGGAAAAUCAAGGCUGAGGCGUGAUGACGAGGCACUACGGUGCUGAAGCAACAAAUGCCCUGCUUCCAGGAAAAGCCUCUAAGCAUCAGGUAACAUCAAAUCGUACCCCAAACCGACACAGGUGGUCAGGUAGAGAAUACCAAGGCGCUUGAGAGAACUCGGGUGAAGGAACUAGGCAAAAUGGUGCCGUAACUUCGGGAGAAGGCACGCUGAUAUGUAGGUGAAGUCCCUCGCGGAUGGAGCUGAAAUCAGUCGAAGAUACCAGCUGGCUGCAACUGUUUAUUAAAAACACAGCACUGUGCAAACACGAAAGUGGACGUAUACGGUGUGACGCCUGCCCGGUGCCGGAAGGUUAAUUGAUGGGGUCAGCGCAAGCGAAGCUCUUGAUCGAAGCCCCGGUAAACGGCGGCCGUAACUAUAACGGUCCUAAGGUAGCGAAAUUCCUUGUCGGGUAAGUUCCGACCUGCACGAAUGGCGUAAUGAUGGCCAGGCUGUCUCCACCCGAGACUCAGUGAAAUUGAACUCGCUGUGAAGAUGCAGUGUACCCGCGGCAAGACGGAAAGACCCCGUGAACCUUUACUAUAGCUUGACACUGAACAUUGAGCCUUGAUGUGUAGGAUAGGUGGGAGGCUUUGAAGUGUGGACGCCAGUCUGCAUGGAGCCGACCUUGAAAUACCACCCUUUAAUGUUUGAUGUUCUAACGUGGACCCGUGAUCCGGGUUGCGGACAGUGUCUGGUGGGUAGUUUGACUGGGGCGGUCUCCUCCUAAAGAGUAACGGAGGAGCACGAAGGUUGGCUAAUCCUGGUCGGACAUCAGGAGGUUAGUGCAAUGGCAUAAGCCAGCUUGACUGCGAGCGUGACGGCGCGAGCAGGUGCGAAAGCAGGUCAUAGUGAUCCGGUGGUUCUGAAUGGAAGGGCCAUCGCUCAACGGAUAAAAGGUACUCCGGGGAUAACAGGCUGAUACCGCCCAAGAGUUCAUAUCGACGGCGGUGUUUGGCACCUCGAUGUCGGCUCAUCACAUCCUGGGGCUGAAGUAGGUCCCAAGGGUAUGGCUGUUCGCCAUUUAAAGUGGUACGCGAGCUGGGUUUAGAACGUCGUGAGACAGUUCGGUCCCUAUCUGCCGUGGGCGCUGGAGAACUGAGGGGGGCUGCUCCUAGUACGAGAGGACCGGAGUGGACGCAUCACUGGUGUUCGGGUUGUCAUGCCAAUGGCACUGCCCGGUAGCUAAAUGCGGAAGAGAUAAGUGCUGAAAGCAUCUAAGCACGAAACUUGCCCCGAGAUGAGUUCUCCCUGACCCUUUAAGGGUCCUGAAGGAACGUUGAAGACGACGACGUUGAUAGGCCGGGUGUGUAAGCGCAGCGAUGCGUUGAGCUAACCGGUACUAAUGAACCGUGAGGCUUAACCUUACAACGCCGAAGGUGUUU